Molecule: transfer RNA, 71 nt
Filed under: Nitrospinota bacterium
Lineage: Bacteria; Pseudomonadati; Nitrospinota
Description: Nitrospinae bacterium tRNA-Gln
Rfam family: tRNA
About the family: Transfer RNA (tRNA) molecules are approximately 80 nucleotides in length. Their secondary structure includes four short double-helical elements and three loops (D, anti-codon, and T loops).
Source: RNAcentral
UCCGGGGUCGUCUAACGGCAGGACAUCAGACUUUGGAUCUGAGUAUCUAGGUUCGAAUCCUAGCCCCGGAA